Molecule: ribosomal RNA, 603 nt
Filed under: uncultured Pedomicrobium sp.
Lineage: Bacteria; Pseudomonadati; Pseudomonadota; Alphaproteobacteria; Hyphomicrobiales; Hyphomicrobiaceae
Description: bacterial SSU rRNA
Rfam family: Bacterial small subunit ribosomal RNA
Source: RNAcentral
GAGUUUGAUUCUGGCUCAGAACGAACGCUGGCGGCAGGCCUAACACAUGCAAGUCGAACGCCCCUUCGGGGGAGUGGCAGACGGGUGAGUAACGCGUGGGAACCUUCCCUGUGGUACGGAAUAACUCAGAGAAAUUUGAGCUAAUACCGUAUACGCCCUUCGGGGGAAAGAUUUAUCGCCAUAGGAUGGGCCCGCGUCGGAUUAGCUUGUUGGUGAGGUAACGGCUCACCAAGGCGACGAUCCGUAGCUGGUCUUAGAGGAUGAUCAGCCACACUGGGACUGAGACACGGCCCAGACUCCUACGGGAGGCAGCAGUGGGGAAUAUUGGACAAUGGGCGAAAGCCUGAUCCAGCCAUGCCGCGUGAGUGACGAAGGCCUUAGGGUUGUAAAGCUCUUUUGGCGGGGACGAUAAUGACGGUACCCGCAGAAUAAGCCCCGGCUAACUUCGUGCCAGCAGCCGCGGUAAUACGAAGGGGGCUAGCGUUGUUCGGAAUCACUGGGCGUAAAGCGCACGUAGGCUGACUGGUCAGUUGGGGGUGAAAUCCCGGGGCUCAACCUCGGAACUGCCUUCAAUACUGCCAGUCUUGAGUCCGAGAGAGGUGA